UACGAAGGGGACUGGCGUUGUUCGGAAUUACUGGGCGUAGAGCGCACGUAGGCGGAUUUGUAAGUCAGGGGUGAAAUCCCGGGGCUCAACCUCGGAACUGCCUUUGAUACUGCAAAUCUCGAGUCCGAUAGAGGUGGGUGGAAUUCCUAGUGUAGAGGUGAAAUUCGUAGAUAUCAGGAGGAACACCGGUGGCGAAAGCGGCUCCCUGGCCCGAUACUGACGCUCAUGUACGAAAGCGUGGGGAGCAAACAGG
Molecule: ribosomal RNA, 253 nt
Filed under: uncultured bacterium
Lineage: Bacteria
Description: partial 16S ribosomal RNA
Rfam family: Bacterial small subunit ribosomal RNA
Source: RNAcentral